UUGAACGCUGGCGGCAUGCCUUACACAUGCAAGUCGAACGGUAACAGGUCUUCGGAUGCUGACGAGUGGCGAACGGGUGAGUAAUACAUCGGAACGUGCCCGAGAGUGGGGGAUAACGGAGCGAAAGCUUUGCUAAUACCGCAUACGAUCUACGGAUGAAAGCAGGGGACCGCAAGGCCUUGCGCUCAUGGAGCGGCCGAUGGCAGAUUAGGUAGUUGGUGGGAUAAAAGCUUACCAAGCCGACGAUCUGUAGCUGGUCUGAGAGGACGACCAGCCACACUGGGACUGAGACACGGCCCAGACUCCUACGGGAGGCAGCAGUGGGGAAUUUUGGACAAUGGGCGCAAGCCUGAUCCAGCCAUGCCGCGUGCAGGAUGAAGGCCUUCGGGUUGUAAACUGCUUUUGUACGGAACGAAAAGACUCCUUCUAAUAAAGGGGGUCCAUGACGGUACCGUAAGAAUAAGCACCGGCUAACUACGUGCCAGCAGCCGCGGUAAUACGUAGGGUGCAAGCGUUAAUCGGAAUUACUGGGCGUAAAGCGUGCGCAGGCGGUUAUAUAA
This 560-nucleotide ribosomal RNA is filed under the name uncultured bacterium. RNAcentral describes it as "bacterial SSU rRNA". It matches the Rfam family "Bacterial small subunit ribosomal RNA", at positions 29 to 586 of the family's 1533-position model. The record is from RNAcentral.